RNAcentral lists this transfer RNA (91 nucleotides) under Gelatoporia subvermispora B. It matches the Rfam family "tRNA". From Rfam's summary of the family: Transfer RNA (tRNA) molecules are approximately 80 nucleotides in length. Their secondary structure includes four short double-helical elements and three loops (D, anti-codon, and T loops). Lineage: Eukaryota; Fungi; Basidiomycota; Agaricomycetes; Polyporales; Gelatoporiaceae. The record is from Rfam by way of RNAcentral.
GCCCCCGUUGUCUAAUGGCUAUGACGUCAGACUUCUAGGGCAUUUCAUCCCUUCAAUCUGGAGGUUGCGGGUUCGAGUCCCGCCGGGGGUA